This 493-nucleotide ribosomal RNA is filed under the name uncultured soil bacterium. Its description in RNAcentral is "bacterial SSU rRNA". It matches the Rfam family "Bacterial small subunit ribosomal RNA", at positions 43 to 525 of the family's 1533-position model. The record is from RNAcentral.
CAGGCCUAACACAUGCAAGUCGAACGGCAGCACAGGGGUAGCAAUACCAUGGGUGGCGAGUGGCGGACGGGUGAGUAAUGCAUCGGGACCUACCUGAACGUGGGGGAUAACGUAGGGAAACUUACGCUAAUACCGCAUACGUCCUACGGGAGAAAGCGGGGGACCUUCGGGCCUCGCGCGGUCAGACGGACCGAUGUUCGAUUAGCUAGUUGGUAAGGUAAUGGCUUACCAAGGCGACGAUCGAUAGCUGGUCUGAGAGGAUGAUCAGCCACACUGGAACUGAGACACGGUCCAGACUCCUACGGGAGGCAGCAGUGGGGAAUAUUGGACAAUGGGCGCAAGCCUGAUCCAGCAAUGCCGCGUGUGUGAAGAAGGCCUUCGGGUUGUAAAGCACUUUUAUCGGGAGCGAAAUACCAUUGGUUAAUAACCGGUGGGGCUGACGGUACCCGAGGAAUAAGCACCGGCUAACUUCGUGCCAGCAGCCGCGGUAAUA